Molecule: ribosomal RNA, 253 nt
Filed under: uncultured bacterium
Lineage: Bacteria
Description: partial 16S ribosomal RNA
Rfam family: Bacterial small subunit ribosomal RNA
Source: RNAcentral
UACGUAGGGGGCAAGCGUUGUCCGGAAUCAUUGGGCGUAAAGAGCGUGUAGGCGGCUCGAUAAGUCUGCUGUGAAAGUCCAGGGCUCAACCCUGGAAGGCCGGUGGAAACUGUCGGGCUAGAGUCCGGAAGAGGCGAGUGGAAUUCCCGGUGUAGCGGUGAAAUGCGCAGAUAUCGGGAGGAACACCAAUGGCGAAGGCAGCUCGCUGGGACGGUACUGACGCUGAGACGCGAAAGCGUGGGGAACAAACAGG